GUCUAUGGCCACGCCACCCUGAACAAGCCGGAUCCCAGCUGAUCUGGGAAGCUAAGCAGGGUCGGGCCUGGUUAGUACUUGGAUGAGAGACCACCUAGAAAGACCAGGUGCUGUAGACG
Molecule: ribosomal RNA, 119 nt
Filed under: Pteropus alecto (black flying fox)
Lineage: Eukaryota; Metazoa; Chordata; Mammalia; Chiroptera; Pteropodidae
Source: RNAcentral